AUUGAACGCUGGCGGCAGGCCUAACACAUGCAAGUCGAGCGGAUGAAGGGAGCUUGCUCCUGGAUUCAGCGGCGGACGGGUGAGUAAUGCCUAGGAAUCUGCCUGGUAGUGGGGGAUAACGUCCGGAAACGGGCGCUAAUACCGCAUACGUCCUGAGGGAGAAAGUGGGGGAUCUUCGGACCUCACGCUAUCAGAUGAGCCUAGGUCGGAUUAGCAAGUUGGUGGGGUAAAGGCCUACCAAGGCGACGAUCCGUAACUGGUCUGAGAGGAUGAUCAGUCACACUGGAACUGAGACACGGUCCAGACUCCUACGGGAGGCAGCAGUGGGGAAUAUUGGACAAAGGGCGAAAGCCUGAUCCAGCCAUGCCGCGUGUGUGAAGAAGGUCUUCGGAUUGUAAAGCACUUUAAGUUGGGAGGAAGGGCAGUAAGUUAAUACCUUGCUGUUUUGACGUUACCAACAGAAUAAGCACCGGCUAACUUCGUG
RNAcentral lists this ribosomal RNA (484 nucleotides) under uncultured bacterium. Its description in RNAcentral is "partial 16S ribosomal RNA". It matches the Rfam family "Bacterial small subunit ribosomal RNA", at positions 30 to 507 of the family's 1533-position model. The record is from RNAcentral.